AAUUAAUGAGCUUGUAAAUAAGCUUUUGUUUUGAAAACUUAAGAAAGAAUAUAAUAUUCUAUUAAUUU
RNAcentral lists this transfer RNA (68 nucleotides) under Phlossa conjucta. Its description in RNAcentral is "tRNA-Ser". The record is from RNAcentral. Lineage: Eukaryota; Metazoa; Arthropoda; Insecta; Lepidoptera; Limacodidae.